RNAcentral lists this long non-coding RNA (581 nucleotides) under Mytilus galloprovincialis (Mediterranean mussel). Lineage: Eukaryota; Metazoa; Mollusca; Bivalvia; Mytilida; Mytilidae. The record is from RNAcentral.
GUAGGUCCGGUAAGGACCGAUUUUGGCCUCAAAUUUCAGGUUCAUCUGACGAAAGAUUUUGACCACUUUUUAAACACUUAAGUGUCUAUUUUAUUUGAAUUACUUAGUUUAUGUGAAAGAUUUUAACAGAUUUAGUCAUUAAAAACGAUCCGAUUCAAGCUCAAAUAUGAAAAAUCUACCUAAUAUGCCGAAAAAUGUCACUUUUCAGAUGGUUUUUGGUAAAAAUGAAAGUGGCCGCAUCUGUGUUCAUCCUCAACCUUUAUAUAUGUUAUGUAUUAUCAUAAAAUACAACUUACUUUUCAAUAUUAAGGAUGAACACGAAUGCGGCCACUUUCGUUUUACACGAAAACCGUCUAAAAUUUAACUAAAAUGCUAGAAUUAUGAGGAUUUCAGUAAUUUAGCAUGACUUAAUGGUGCUAGUACCGGAUAUAUGUGCAUUGUAUUGUCAAAAACAGCCCAUAUGUAUGUAGCAGAAGCAUUCUACUGUCCAAUAAAUGACUAAAAGUUUGUAUUUAAACAAUUUUGUAAAACUGCUAUAUUUUGGGGCCAAAAAGGGGUCUUACUGAACCUACUCCUUUAAA